This 232-nucleotide long non-coding RNA is filed under the name Gossypium barbadense (sea-island cotton). RNAcentral's name for it is "long non-coding RNA (GBAR_LNC016812)". Lineage: Eukaryota; Viridiplantae; Streptophyta; Magnoliopsida; Malvales; Malvaceae. The record is from RNAcentral.
AAAAAUUAAAUUUCCCGAUCCUUAAACAAGUCUAGACUUUAGCCUUAAUCCCAACAAAAAGGUUUUAAAGGGAUAAAAAAGAAAAAGUAAUGGAAAUAUUUAAUUAAACAGUCCCUAUCUACAUUAUUGAUUAUCCAUAGGGGUAGAAUACAAGCAACUCCUCACUUUGUUUUAAUUUGGUUCUUUCUUGUAUCAUAAACUUUCUGCCUUUUUCUGUUUCACCCACUUUGUC